This is a long non-coding RNA of Carassius auratus (goldfish), 401 nucleotides long. RefSeq lists it as uncharacterized. The transcript has 3 exons. Lineage: Eukaryota; Metazoa; Chordata; Actinopteri; Cypriniformes; Cyprinidae. The record is from RefSeq and is a predicted model, not a curated record.
CAGCACGGUACCACCAUCCAUACUUCCACUGCCUCUUUCCACUCCCUCUUGUUUAGGAAGUUCCCUAACCAGAAAAACCUGACUAAGACUGUACAAAGGCUGGAUUUCCCUCUCAAAGUCGCACCUUCUUUGGCCCAGGCAAGUGCGCGGCCCUCAGCCAACCUCAACCACCCAACUGUGACAACUGAGAUAGAUGACAGCACACUGCUGGCAGAGACAGGCACGCUGGCUAGUGACACCUUCCUUCAGGCGUAUCUUUUGAAUUGACUUGCAAGGUGCAGUGAGGAUCUGGAUGUGGCAGCAACAAUUGAUGAGCAGCAGCCACAUUCCUACAAUCAUCUUCUGCCUCAUGCUGUCAGUACUCUUGCAGAGGAGCUUAUGGGCAUGAAAAUCAUCCCUUA